This is a long non-coding RNA of Canis lupus familiaris (dog), 1773 nucleotides long. RefSeq lists it as uncharacterized. The record is from RefSeq and is a predicted model, not a curated record. The transcript is spliced from 2 exons. NCBI's taxonomy places the organism in Eukaryota, Metazoa, Chordata, Mammalia, Carnivora, Canidae.
CGUCGGAGGACCGACCUGGCCCCACGCCGCCGAGCCUCCGCACGGUUCAGGGGUCGCGGGGGCGCGGGCGCUUCAACAGCCCGAGAAACCACGCGAAGACUUUCAGAUGUCCCUUUGGGUCCCCACUCCAGGAAGCGAGCCGCAACCUUGGUCGACAUACCUCCCACGUGUGUAGACUGUGACCGUGUGGCCACAUCACUAGGAGUCACUAAGGUUCUAGAGCUAAAAGUCCUGAAUAUGAUCCGGAGGAAGACACGUCUGCAUUCGGUCUGACAAAUGGAAUCGUGGGAGAGUAGGCCCUGAACGACCCACCACACCCAGCGAGGAGACAAAAAUGACCUGGCCACACUCGGAUGGGACAAGAACAACUUCAUGCCCCUGGGGAUGGUCUCAGCUUGGUCAAAGUUUAAACACCAGGUAGUUUCCCAUGGGAGAUUUUAUUUAAAACUGUGAUUUCAUUUUUAAUUAAUUUCUACAGCCCAACAUGGGACUCGAACUCACAACCCUGAGAUCAACAGUCACGUGCUCCCCUGACUGAGCCAACCAGGAGCCCAGCAAUGUGCGGUUUUGAGCACUAAGCAACUUGCUCCUUAAGGGCAAGAAAUCAGAGAACGUGUGUGUUCCCUGCCGGUGCUCUGCAGUCACCCCCCCGGGAGAGGCCCGAAGACCCUCGCGCACCGUGGGAGCCUACUGUGUGGGACCUUCCUUUGUCUGUCAGCAGCGGGCUGCGUGGUUCCCGAGCACCCCUCGGGUGCCUGGUGCCGUCUCAGGGUGCCCCUGUUGCAUAGAGGGCCUCCACACGUUCCUUUCAUCUGGGAGUCGCUUACUUAUUUUUUGUGCUUGCCACACUCUGAAGGCACCGAGGCAGGUGCCGAGCACGUGCGGAGCAGCGGCCUGCAGGGACACCCAGGCCUCAGGGACCCUCAUCACCCCCCGCCUCCCUCCCUUAAUUACCCCCUGGGAGCUGGGACUGACUGCAGAGGGAGAGCACGGAGGCUUUGCAUUUAGGAGGCCCUCUCUCCGAGGACUUGGAGGUGCUCCUAGGUGGGACGUACUCUUGAGAGAGUCCACAGGAACAGCCAAACCUGAGGAUCCUCGCUAAUCCCCUUUCCUUUCCUCUCUGGAUUUUGCAUGUUUUAUUAUAUAUGGUUCUGAUGUCUGCUGAUUAAAGAAUAUUUUACAAGAUGUAUAAAAUGAAAAUAUCACAAGAGAUUAAAUCGUAAUAACGCUACCAGAGUGCAGUACAUUGCACACACCAAGAUUCAAAUAAUGGAUCCCAGCUUUUUGUUUUUUUAGUAUGAACAUUCUUGCACAGUAGCAAAAUAGGAAUAUGCCAGAAAGAUAGAAUUUGCAUUUUAGGUCUGUUGACUGGAAAAUACAUUAGAAAACUUACUGAAUUAGGCAGGAAUAUUUUUUAUUCUAUCCAUUAUACUAAAAAAAAUCCUGCGAGGUAAGUGAGGGUGGCUCUAAUUGACGUCAUUCUGUACCCGCAGAGUGUGACUCACUCCAGUCCGUAUUCCAUGUGCUUCCAUCCCUACUGCUUCAGACCCUGUCACCCGGUCGCUGCUCGGAGGUCCGCCUCCCGGAGUUGAGAACAGUUGGUGUAGGUCUUCGAGCCAUUGUUUUCAGGAACAGUCGCUCAUACACAGAAUAAUUACGUUGGACUGAAAACAAAGAACCGAAGACCCUCAUUGAGCAUUCCAGGGCUCCUCAGUGGUGGGGGAGCUACCCUGUAGGGUUAAAACCACUUAGACAUUAAAACAAUGGAAUUUA